This 72-nucleotide transfer RNA is filed under the name Schistocephalus solidus. It matches the Rfam family "tRNA". From Rfam's summary of the family: Transfer RNA (tRNA) molecules are approximately 80 nucleotides in length. Their secondary structure includes four short double-helical elements and three loops (D, anti-codon, and T loops). Lineage: Eukaryota; Metazoa; Platyhelminthes; Cestoda; Diphyllobothriidea; Diphyllobothriidae. The record is from Rfam by way of RNAcentral.
GAGCCCUUAGCUCAUUGGUAGAGCGUUUGGCUCAAUGACCAAAGGUCGUGGGUUUAAAUCACAGAUGGUCCA